This 433-nucleotide ribosomal RNA is filed under the name uncultured bacterium. RNAcentral's name for it is "partial 16S ribosomal RNA". It matches the Rfam family "Bacterial small subunit ribosomal RNA", at positions 29 to 507 of the family's 1533-position model. The record is from RNAcentral.
AACGAACGCUGGCGGCGUGCCUAACACAUGCAAGUCGAACGAUAACUUCGGGUCCAGUGGCGCACGGGUGCGUAAGGCGUGGGAAGCUGCCCUUAGGUUCGGAAUCACUCCCCGAAAGGGGUGAUAAUACCGGAUAAUGUUUUCGAACAAAAGAUAUAUCGCCUUUGGAUGGGCCCGCGUUGGAGUAGCUAGUUGGUAGGGUAAAAGCCUACCAAGGCGACGAUCCAUAGCUGGUCUGAGAGGAUGAUCAGCCACACGGGGACUGAGACACGGCCCAGACUCCUACGGGAAGCAGCAGUGGGGAAUAUUGGACAAUGGGCGAAAGCCUGAUCCAGCAAUGCCGCGUGAGUGAUGAAGGCCUUAGGGUUGUAAAGCUCUUUUACCCGGGAUGAUAAUGACAGUACCGGGAGAAUAAGCGCCGGCUAACUCCGUG